GCGGGUGUAACUCAGCUGGCAGAGUGCAAGCUUCCCAAGCUUGAUGUCGCGGGUUCGACCCCCGUCGCCCGCUCCA
This 76-nucleotide transfer RNA is filed under the name Desulfocurvibacter africanus. RNAcentral describes it as "tRNA-Gly". It matches the Rfam family "tRNA". From Rfam's summary of the family: Transfer RNA (tRNA) molecules are approximately 80 nucleotides in length. RNAcentral also lists the same sequence under 2 other names. Lineage: Bacteria; Pseudomonadati; Thermodesulfobacteriota; Desulfovibrionia; Desulfovibrionales; Desulfovibrionaceae. The record is from RNAcentral.